Myotis myotis is the source of this 344-nucleotide long non-coding RNA. RefSeq lists it as uncharacterized. Lineage: Eukaryota; Metazoa; Chordata; Mammalia; Chiroptera; Vespertilionidae. The transcript has 3 exons. The record is from RefSeq and is a predicted model, not a curated record.
UAUUGACCUUGCAAUUACUUGAAUGCCCAUCUAAUAUCUCUGAGAACUAUAUUUUAUCUUCCUAGUUUUUGAUGAGUCCUCCUCUCUCCCCUCAUCACUAAAGGCAAGUUAAACCGCAAUCCGUGUUCCCCUUUCCCAGAGGAUGAGCAACUUUAACAAAAAAGAAUAAAUGGCACCUGUCCAAACAAACUCAACUUGUAAAAAUCAGAAAAUCAGGAAGCUGUUUCUAAUCGUUGAAAUUGGCUCUUAGAAUUCUAAAUGCGGAGGCUACCUGUUAUCAUCAAACGAGAAGCAGUCAUUUGCAACAGUCGCUGUUUUGCAAAUCUGAUUUACCAGUUCACCAG